RNAcentral lists this ribosomal RNA (465 nucleotides) under Vreelandella stevensii. Its description in RNAcentral is "partial 16S ribosomal RNA". It matches the Rfam family "Bacterial small subunit ribosomal RNA", at positions 338 to 795 of the family's 1533-position model. The record is from RNAcentral. Lineage: Bacteria; Pseudomonadati; Pseudomonadota; Gammaproteobacteria; Oceanospirillales; Halomonadaceae.
CCUACGGGGGGCUGCAGUGGGGAAUAUUGGACAAUGGGGGCAACCCUGAUCCAGCCAUGCCGCGGGUGUGAAGAAGGCCCUCGGGUUGUAAAGCACUUUCAGUGAGGAAGAACGCCUGGUGGUUAAUACCCAUCAGGAAAGACAUCACUCACAGAAGAAGCACCGGCUAACUCCGUGCCAGCAGCCGCGGUAAUACGGAGGGUGCGAGCGUUAAUCGGAAUUACUGGGCGUAAAGCGCGCGUAGGUGGCUUGAUAAGCCGGUUGUGAAAGCCCCGGGCUCAACCUGGGAACGGCAUCCGGAACUGUCAAGCUAGAGUGCAGGAGAGGAAGGUAGAAUUCCCGGUGUAGCGGUGAAAUGCGUAGAGAUCGGGAGGAAUACCAGUGGCGAAGGCGGCCUUCUGGACUGACACUGACACUGAGGUGCGAAAGCGUGGGUAGCAAACAGGAUUAGAUACCCCAGUAGUC